This 813-nucleotide long non-coding RNA is filed under the name Homo sapiens (human). RNAcentral describes it as "HSALNT0255861". The record is from RNAcentral. Lineage: Eukaryota; Metazoa; Chordata; Mammalia; Primates; Hominidae.
UAGGUGCCUCCACCAGAGCUUCUGUCGCUCUGUAACCUGCACUGUGACCUACACUAGUCGCGGGAGCCACGCAGAGGACGCCGGAACACCCUGGAAGCCGAGAAAUGGACCCAGUGGCUUUUAAGGAUGUGGCUGUGAACUUCACCCAGGAGGAGUGGGCUUUGCUGGAUAUUUCCCAGAGGAAACUCUACAGGGAAGUGAUGCUGGAAACUUUCAGGAACCUGACCUCUUUAGGUAAGGAUGACAAUAUUCCUUCCCUCAGUCCAUUAGUGAACCAGUGUUUCUAGCUCAUUAAUGCUGUUGAGUGAUUUAGAACAUAGACAGGAAAUACUUUGAUGAAUAAAUGAGGUAUGGCUGCAGUAAAUCAUGGGCGUAGAAUCUAAUAAUUUUUUCACAAUUUUAUACUGCCUCAGGACUAUUUUUUCUGUGUCUGUAUUUUAGGAAAAAGGUGGAAAGACCAGAACAUUGAAUAUGAGCACCAAAACCCCAGGAGAAACUUCAGGAGUCUCAUAGAAGAAAAAGUCAAUGAAAUUAAAGAUGACAGUCAUUGUGGAGAAACUUUUACCCCAGUUCCAGAUGACAGACUGAACUUCCAGGAGAAGAAAGCUUCUCCUGAAGUAAAAUCAUGUGAAAGCUUUGUGUGUGGAGAAGUUGGCCUAGGUAACUCAUCUUUUAAUAUGAACAUCAGAGGUGACAUUGGACACAAGGCAUAUGAGUAUCAGGAAUAUGGACCAAAGCCAUGUAAGUGUCAACAACCUAAAAAAGCCUUCAGAUACCGCCCCUCCUUUAGAACACAAGAAAGGGAUCACACUG